This 199-nucleotide long non-coding RNA is filed under the name Prunus persica (peach). RNAcentral describes it as "long non-coding RNA (PPER_LNC006770)". The record is from RNAcentral. Lineage: Eukaryota; Viridiplantae; Streptophyta; Magnoliopsida; Rosales; Rosaceae.
UUACUUUGAAUAUUUUUUAUUUUUUAUUUUCCUUUUUCCAGAUCAAUUUUUCUCUCCUUUCAGCUGUAUGUCUCUCCAGCUCUAACCAUUGUUAUACUCAAUCUCAAGUGGCUUACCAUUGUUUUCUUUAUUAUUUGAAAAUAUUUUGGAAGAAUACUAAAGAAAGUAAAUGAAAUUAAAAUUGAUUGUUGAACGAUGC